CCUACGGGGUGCAGCAGUGGGGAAUAUUGGACAAUGGGCGAAAGCCUGAUCCAGCCAUGCCGCGUGUGUGAAGAAGGCCUUCGGGUUGUAAAGCACUUUCAGUGGGGAAGAAAGCCUUGGGGCUAAUACCCUCGAGGAAGGACAUCACCCACAGAAGAAGCACCGGCUAACUCCGUGCCAGCAGCCGCGGUAAUACGGAGGGUGCGAGCGUUAAUCGGAAUUACUGGGCGUAAAGCGCGCGUAGGCGGUCUGAUAAGCCGGUUGUGAAAGCCCCGGGCUCAACCUGGGAACGGCAUCCGGAACUGUCAGGCUAGAGUGCAGGAGAGGAAGGUAGAAUUCCCGGUGUAGCGGUGAAAUGCGUAGAGAUCGGGAGGAAUACCAGUGGCGAAGGCGGCCCUCUGGACUGACACUGACGCUGAGGUGCGAAAGCGUGGGUAGCAAACAGGAUUAGAUACCCUGGUAGUC
This 465-nucleotide ribosomal RNA is filed under the name Vreelandella stevensii. Its description in RNAcentral is "partial 16S ribosomal RNA". It matches the Rfam family "Bacterial small subunit ribosomal RNA", at positions 338 to 795 of the family's 1533-position model. The record is from RNAcentral. Lineage: Bacteria; Pseudomonadati; Pseudomonadota; Gammaproteobacteria; Oceanospirillales; Halomonadaceae.